CUGAGCCAGAGGGGACAGUCCACCCUUUUCCAACAGAGGACCAUGGUGUCAGACUUGGAGGUGCAGAUUCUCAUCCCAGUCACUUCACACUCGGCCUCAAACCUGCUCAGUGCGCAUCGGCGGUCACAGUCUGAAGCCAAUAGAACCACAUCAUCUGCAAAAAGCAGAGAUGCAACUCUGAGGUCACCAAACUGGACACCAUCCAGACACCAACUGCA
Molecule: long non-coding RNA, 218 nt
Organism: Thalassophryne amazonica
Lineage: Eukaryota; Metazoa; Chordata; Actinopteri; Batrachoidiformes; Batrachoididae
Exons: 3
Source: RefSeq, a predicted model, not a curated record